Molecule: ribosomal RNA, 254 nt
Filed under: uncultured bacterium
Lineage: Bacteria
Description: partial 16S ribosomal RNA
Rfam family: Bacterial small subunit ribosomal RNA
Source: RNAcentral
AACGUAGGAGACAAACGUUAUCCGGAAUUACUGGGCGUAAAGCGCGCGUAGGUGGUUUGUUAAGUUGGAUGUGAAAUCCCCCGGGCUCAACCUGGGAACUGCAUCCAAAACUGGCAAGCUAGAGUAUGGUAGAGGGUGGUGGAAUUUCCUGUGUAGCGGUGAAAUGCGUAGAUAUAGGAAGGAACACCAGUGGCGAAGGCGACCACCUGGACUGAUACUGACACUGAGGUGCGAAAGCGUGGGGAGCAAACAGG